Trifolium pratense (red clover) is the source of this 1102-nucleotide long non-coding RNA. RefSeq lists it as uncharacterized. The record is from RefSeq and is a predicted model, not a curated record. Lineage: Eukaryota; Viridiplantae; Streptophyta; Magnoliopsida; Fabales; Fabaceae. The transcript has 5 exons.
UUUUCUCUUUUAAUUUGGUAGUUUAGAAGCACUGAUAGUUCUUAUGGACGAUUGUACUUUUUAGCAAUAUUGUGAUCAUAAUUUUGUAUUCUUUCUAUCCAGGUUAUACAUUUUAUGGACAUGGUUAUACUUGAAGAACCAAUAGAGAGGAUAUAUGUACAUACUCAAUGGCACUAAGGAUUGGUUGCUUUAAUCAAAGGAAUUUUUCUAUUUGUCAUGUGAGAAGUUAAAGUUUGAGAUAAUAUGAUUGGUUGCUUUAACCCCUAAGUUAGCAUGUGGAAAAUUUAAAUUGAAGGCACUGCUUGCAAACAUGGCUUCCAUGUAUGCUGAUAUCCAGGAAAUGUUAAACAAUUUGGGUGACUUGUUAUGUACUACCAUCGCUGAAUUUGACUUCUCUUGACAGGCAUUUCCUGUUAUGUUUUUAUGGAAUAAUUGGCAUGACUUAGUUCUUGCAAGGAGAUGUAAAAAUUAAGAGUUAAAGGUUCAAACCUGAGGGUGUGUACUCAAUUGUAACAUUGAUUGCUAUGCUAAGAUACAUCUGCAACAGGAAAGCAAGAGUUGGGCAUCAAGGAACAACCAUGAAAUGUUUGUAUUAGAGCAAUGUAGGUUAAAUCGGUUCUAAAGUUUAUCAUAGAAUAUAAGACAAUAUGGCUUUAAUCUUUCUCAAUUUUCACUUGUUUCAUCACUGGCUCCGUAUUGGGUGCAUCACAAGUUGAAGCCACAAAAUAAAAAUCUCUCUUAUUUGUUUCCACCUCAUUCGCGUCUGCAGUGAGAUCUAUAGUGUCUACCCAGGUAUCCCAUCCUUGAUCACUAAAUUUUUCCAUUAGAUCCUGCGCAUUUAUUCGUAAUAAGAAAAAAUUAAUAUAUGAUAACAAUAAACUGAUACAGAAUUGUAAUUGUAAAUAUACAUAGAUAACUACAUGAAUUUGCAAUUUAAUAUACCUUAGCAACAUAAUCUGCAGUAGAGUCCUUCCCUUUAGCAUCAACAUCAACAACCUUACCAAUGGAACACUCCUCAUACACAGAAUUAACCUAUGCGUUAAAUUCAAAUUAUAAUAACCUUAUUAUGGGUAAAUGCCUUUUUACCCCCCCCUGCUCUAAU